UCACAAUGCGGGACUAUACGUCUUGCAAUUGGAUUGAGAACAAUGUACAACUCUUAUCGAUAAGCCAUUGGAGGGCAAGUCUGGUGCCAGCAGCCGCGGUAAUUCCAGCUCCAAUAGCGUAUAUUAACGUUGUUGCAGUUAAAAAGCUCGUAGUUGAAGUGUGGGUGAUCGCUGUUGUGAGACUUCGGUCUCUCGACAGUAAGUCACCCCCUUCCAGUAUCCAGUAGUGGGUAUUCAGUUACUUACUAUUGUGUGUUGGUCCUUUACUGUGAGAAAAUUAGAGUGUUCAAAGCAGGCGUUUGCUUGAAUAGAUUAGCAUGGAAUAAUAAUUGAAGGCUUUCGUGUUCGAUUUGAUUGGUUUGUUCAUGGAAGCAAGGUUAAAAGGAACAGUUGGGGGUAUUCAUAUUCACUAGUUAGAGGUGAAAUUCUCGGAUUUAUGGAAGAUGAAC
RNAcentral lists this ribosomal RNA (449 nucleotides) under Blastocystis sp. RNAcentral describes it as "SSU rRNA". It matches the Rfam family "Eukaryotic small subunit ribosomal RNA", at positions 477 to 940 of the family's 1831-position model. Lineage: Eukaryota; Bigyra; Opalinata; Blastocystidae. The record is from RNAcentral.